UGACCUCAAAUCAGGUAAAAACACC
RNAcentral lists this ribosomal RNA (25 nucleotides) under Rhizophagus intraradices. RNAcentral describes it as "partial 28S ribosomal RNA". The record is from RNAcentral. Lineage: Eukaryota; Fungi; Glomeromycota; Glomeromycetes; Glomerales; Glomeraceae.